GAAGAUUCAAAGUUUCGAAUGACUAAGUUUGUUUUUUAUAUACUGCAACCUGAAUUUUUAUUUAGUUCUCUAUUCUCCAAUUAAAACAAAUGUGCUAGAAUAGGUUUAUUAAAAAUUCAAGAAUAUGUCCGAUUUCGGUAAUCCUGUAUUACUUGAAACAUACGGUGAUGGAAUAAGGAGUGAUUUUUAUAAGCUCAGGAACCAAAUUCACAUCACUUCAAAGCUGCUGUUCUUAUCUAGACGGAAAAUGCUUGAUGCCAUAUUAAUAAACGAACUUGGUUCACCAGAGGAAGAUACGAUUGCUUUGAAGGCUAGAACAAGAAUGAAAUCAUCAGUUAGAAAACGGUACUUCCCACAACGAAUAGUACAGUUACUAUUGAGAACUAAUGAUAUUUAUCUAAUGAAAAUUUUUUAUUUAUAAUGAAUUGAAGAUAAAUGACUUUCGAAAAGUUUUCAAUUAUGUUUGAAAAAAAUCAAAUUUCUUUUUCUUCGAGCAUUUCAUUCCAAGUCAUACUUUUACCCAACCUUACUUUAAAUUUCCUAGAAA
This is a long non-coding RNA of Uranotaenia lowii, 547 nucleotides long. RefSeq lists it as uncharacterized. The transcript has 3 exons. The record is from RefSeq and is a predicted model, not a curated record. Lineage: Eukaryota; Metazoa; Arthropoda; Insecta; Diptera; Culicidae.